This 370-nucleotide long non-coding RNA is filed under the name Pan troglodytes (chimpanzee). Its description in RNAcentral is "long non-coding RNA NONPTRT013550". Lineage: Eukaryota; Metazoa; Chordata; Mammalia; Primates; Hominidae. The record is from RNAcentral.
CUCCAAUCUGAGCAACAAAAGUGAAAUUCCAUCUCAAAAAAAAAAAAAAAAGAGUUUGAGACCAGCCGGGCCAACAUGGUGAAACCCUGUCUCUGCUAAAAAUAAGUAUAUAAAGAAAGUAGCUAGAAAAAUACACAAGAGGCCACGCACGGUGGCUCACGCUUGUAAAUACCAGCACUUUGGGAGGCCGAGGCAGGCAGAUCACUUGAGGUCAGACUUACUAUUUUCAAGACACUAGUUUUUUUGUUUGGUUGGUUUUUUUUGAGACGGAGUCUCGCUCUGUCACUCAUGCUGGAGUGCAAUGGCACGAUUUUGGCUCACCGCAACCUCUGCCUCCCGGGUUCAAGCGAUUCUCCUGUCUCAGCCUCCU